This 564-nucleotide ribosomal RNA is filed under the name uncultured bacterium. RNAcentral's name for it is "bacterial SSU rRNA". It matches the Rfam family "Bacterial small subunit ribosomal RNA", at positions 939 to 1503 of the family's 1533-position model. The record is from RNAcentral.
AUGUGGUUUAAUUCGAAGCAACGCGCAGAACCUUACCAGCGUUUGACAUCCCGCGCUAUCACCAGAGAUGGUGAGUUCCCUUCGGGGACGCGGUGACAGGUGCUGCAUGGCUGUCGUCAGCUCGUGUCGUGAGAUGUUGGGUUAAGUCCCGCAACGAGCGCAACCCUCGUCCUUAGUUGCCAUCAUUAAGUUGGGCACUCUAAGGAAACCGCCGGUGAUAAGCCGGAGGAAGGUGGGGAUGACGUCAAGUCCUCAUGGCCCUUACACGCUGGGCUACACACGUGCUACAAUGGCGGUGACAGUGGGCAGCGACCUCGCGAGGGGUAGCUAAUCUCCAAAAGCCGUCUCAGUUCGGAUUGUUCUCUGCAACUCGAGAGCAUGAAGGCGGAAUCGCUAGUAAUCGCGGAUCAGCAUGCCGCGGUGAAUACGUUCCCAGGCCUUGUACACACCGCCCGUCACACCAUGGGAGUUGGAUUCACUCGAAGGCGUUGAGCUAACCCGUAAGGGAGGCAGGCGACCACAGUGGGUUUAGCGACUGGGGUGAAGUCGUAACAAGGUAGCCGU